UAGGGAAUCUUCGGCAAUGGACGAAAGUCUGACCGAGCAACGCCGCGUGAGUGAAGAAGGCUUUCGGAUCGUAAAACUCUGUUGUUAGAGAAGAACAAGGACGUUAGUAACUGAACGUCCCCUGACGGUAUCUAACCAGAAAGCCACGGCUAACUACGUGCCAGCAGCCGCGGUAAUACGUAGGUGGCAAGCGUUGUCCGGAUUUAUUGGGCGUAAAGCGAGCGCAGGCGGUUUCUUAAGUCUGAUGUGAAAGCCCCCGGCUCAACCGGGGAGGGUUAUUGGGAACUGGGAGACUUGAGUGCAGAAGAGGAGAGUGGAAUUCCAUGUGUGGCGGUGAAAUGCGUAGAUAUAUGGAGGAACACCAGUGGCGAAGGCGUCUCUCUGGUCUGUAACUGACGAUGAGGCUCGAAAGCGUGGGGAGCAAACAGG
Molecule: ribosomal RNA, 429 nt
Filed under: Gemmatimonadota bacterium
Lineage: Bacteria; Pseudomonadati; Gemmatimonadota
Description: Gemmatimonadetes bacterium partial 16S ribosomal RNA
Rfam family: Bacterial small subunit ribosomal RNA
Source: RNAcentral